GGAGUCUUCUCAUUAUUAAAAACAUUAGCCUCACAACUUAUGCCAACAUCCCAUAAUUAGCUUACUAGAAAUCCAUAACUAAAUAAUUAAAACUUCAACAAACUACACCCAACAAGCUACGAACUGGCAGAUGACUCCCCAAACUGCUUCUCCAUCUCCUUCAAUUCACCUUGUUGCAGUCGGUGGACGGGCUGAUCUUGUAAGGGAUUGGGACGCCGCACUGGCGAGGAAUAGAAGCAGCAGCAGCGACCAUUGGUCCAGUUGCGCUGCCGGCCACCUGCUUCAAGCAGCCACAGGUCGUACGGCGAUCUAAAGUAGUCUUGGCCGCGCCUAGAAGGCUACUAACUCCGCUACAGCAAUUGGGAGGCACGGUACCUCCGCUUGUGAUAUAUGAAAGACAUGGCUGUAGGGCAUUGUACACCUGAUUACACGUGAUUGCACCCUCAGUUUCCUGCCCCGCCAUCAUCAACACCGCCAUCAGUAGCGCCACCACCUUGCCGGACAUGAGUGUAACUUGAGAUCUCUCUUUUUU
This 532-nucleotide unclassified non-coding RNA is filed under the name Hevea brasiliensis (rubber tree). The record is from RNAcentral. Lineage: Eukaryota; Viridiplantae; Streptophyta; Magnoliopsida; Malpighiales; Euphorbiaceae.